CAUUUCUCUGUCUUCUUUCUCUUCUCUCUUUCUCUCCAUCUCUUUUUGCCCUAUCUGAUAGGGUUUCCAUCUCCUUGUAUCUCCGAUCUUUUUCAUGCAAUCGCGUCUUGAAUCUCUAUACGGUGGUUUGUUAGCGUUUAUUGUUGUUGGGUUUCUCUUUUUUUCUCUCUUUGGAGGGUUUCUCGGUGCUAGACGGUGCGGAUUUGACCUCCCGGGGUUUUUUGAGCUGUACCCAUGUCUAAGCUCUUUGGUUUCGCUGGAGAUGAUGAUUUUUGCCCUGG
RNAcentral lists this unclassified non-coding RNA (281 nucleotides) under Hevea brasiliensis (rubber tree). Lineage: Eukaryota; Viridiplantae; Streptophyta; Magnoliopsida; Malpighiales; Euphorbiaceae. The record is from RNAcentral.